This 446-nucleotide ribosomal RNA is filed under the name uncultured bacterium. RNAcentral describes it as "bacterial SSU rRNA". It matches the Rfam family "Bacterial small subunit ribosomal RNA", at positions 49 to 507 of the family's 1533-position model. The record is from RNAcentral.
UAACACAUGCAAGUCGAACGAGCGAGAGAGAGCUUGCUUUCUCGAGCGAGUGGCGAACGGGUGAGUAACGCGUGAGGAACCUGCCUCAAAGAGGGGGACAACAGUUGGAAACGACUGCUAAUACCGCAUAAGCCCACGGCUCGGCAUCGAGCAGAGGGAAAAGGAGCAAUCCGCUUUGAGAUGGCCUCGCGUCCGAUUAGCUAGUUGGUGAGGUAACGGCCCACCAAGGCGACGAUUGGUAGCCGGACUGAGAGGUUUGAACGGCCACAUUGGGACUGAGACACGGCCCAGACUCCUACGGGAGGCAGCAGUGGGGGAUAUUGCACAAUGGGGGAAACCCUGAUGCAGCGACGCCGCGUGGAGGAAGAAGGUUUUCGGAUUGUAAACUCCUGUCGUUAGGGACGAUAAUGACGGUACCUAACAAGAAAGCACCGGCUAACUACGUG